GACGAACGCUGGCGGCGUGCUUAACACAUGCAAGUCGAACGGAAAGGCCCUGCUUUUGUGGGGUGCUCGAGUGGCGAACGGGUGAGUAACACGUGAGUAACCUGCCCUUGACUUUGGGAUAACUUCAGGAAACUGGGGCUAAUACCGGAUAGGAGCUCCUGCUGCAUGGUGGGGGUUGGAAAGUUUCGGCGGUUGGGGAUGGACUCGCGGCUUAUCAGCUUGUUGGUGGGGUAGUGGCUUACCAAGGCUUUGACGGGUAGCCGGCCUGAGAGGGUGACCGGCCACAUUGGGACUGAGAUACGGCCCAGACUCCUACGGGAGGCAGCAGCGGGGAAUAUUGCACAAUGGGCGGAAGCCUGAUGCAGCAACGCCGCGUGCGGGAUGACGGCCUUCGGGUUGUAAACCGCUUUCGCCUGUGACGAAGCGUGAGUGACGGUAAUGGGUAAAGAAGCACCGGCUAACUACGUGCCAGCAGCCGCGGUGAUACGUAGGGUGCGAGCGUUGUCCGGAUUUAUUGGGCGUAAAGGGCUCGUAGGUGGUUGAUCGCGUCGGAAGUGUAAUCUUGGGGCUUAACCCUGAGCGUGCUUUCGAUACGGGUUGACUUGAGGAAGGUAGGGGAGAAUGGAAUUCCUGGUGGAGCGGUGGAAUGCGCAGAUAUCAGGAGGAACACCAGUGGCGAAGGCGGUUCUCUGGGCCUUUCCUGACGCUGAGGAGCGAAAGCGUGGGGAGCGAACAGGCUUAGAUACCCUGGUAGUCCACGCUGUAAACGGUGGGUACUAGGUGUGGGGUCCAUUCCACGGGUUCCGUGCCGUAGCUAACGCUUUAAGUACCCCGCCUGGGGAGUACGGCCGCAAGGCUAAAACUCAAAGGAAUUGACGGGGCCCCGCACAAGCGGCGGAGCAUGCGGAUUAAUUCGAUGCAACGCGUAGAACCUUACCUGGGUUUGACAUGGAUCGGGAGUGCUCAGAGAUGGGUGUGCCUCUUUUGGGGUCGGUUCACAGGUGGUGCAUGGCUGUCGUCAGCUCGUGUCGUGAGAUGUUGGGUUAAGUCCCGCAACGAGCGCAACCCUUGUUCACUGUUGCCAGCACGUUAUGGUGGGGACUCAGUGGAGACCGCCGGGGUCAACUCGGAGGAAGGUGGGGAUGACGUCAAGUCAUCAUGCCCCUUAUGUCCAGGGCUUCACGCAUGCUACAAUGGCUGGUACAGAGAGUGGCGAGCCUGUGAGGGUGAGCGAAUCUCGGAAAGCCGGUCUCAGUUCGGAUUGGGGUCUGCAACUCGACCUCAUGAAGUCGGAGUCGCUAGUAAUCGCAGAUCAGCAACGCUGCGGUGAAAACGUUCCCGGG
Molecule: ribosomal RNA, 1343 nt
Filed under: uncultured bacterium
Lineage: Bacteria
Description: 16S ribosomal RNA
Rfam family: Bacterial small subunit ribosomal RNA
Source: RNAcentral